GCCCAGACUCCUACGGGAGGCAGCAGUGGGGAAUAUUGCACAAUGGGGGAAACCCUGAUGCAGCGACGCCGCGUGAGUGAAGAAGUAAUUCGUUAUGUAAAGCUCUAUCAGCAGGGAAGAAAAUGACGGUACCUGAGUAAGAAGCCCCGGCUAACUACGUGCCAGCAGCCGCGGUAAUACGUAGGGGGCAAGCGUUAUCCGGAUUUACUGGGUGUAAAGGGAGCGUAGACGGCAGUGCAAGUCUGGAGUGAAAGCCCGGGGCCCAACCCCGGGACUGCUCUUGGAACUGCGUGGCUGGAGUGCAGGAGGGGCUGGCGGAAUUCCUGGUGUAGCGGUGAAAUGCGUAGAUAUCAGGAGGAACACCGGUGGCGAAGGCGGCCUGCUGGACUGCAACUGACGUUGAGGCCCGAAAGCGUGGGGAGCAAACAGGAUUAGAUACCCGCGUAC
RNAcentral lists this ribosomal RNA (447 nucleotides) under uncultured bacterium. RNAcentral's name for it is "bacterial SSU rRNA". It matches the Rfam family "Bacterial small subunit ribosomal RNA", at positions 329 to 793 of the family's 1533-position model. The record is from RNAcentral.